AAAUUGAAGAGUUUGAUCAUGGCUCAGAUUGAACGCUGGCGGCAGGCCUAACACAUGCAAGUCGAACGGUAACAGGAAGCAGCUUGCUGCUUUGCUGACGAGUGGCGGACGGGUGAGUAAUGUCUGGGAAACUGCCUGAUGGAGGGGGGUAACUACUGGAAACGGUAGCUAAUACCGCAUAACGUCGCAAGACCAAAGAGGGGGACCUUCGGGCCUCUUGCCAUCGGAUGUGCCCAGAUGGGAUUAGCUUGUUGGUGGGGUAACGGCUCACCAAGGCGACGAUCCCUAGCUGGUCUGAGAGGAUGACCAGCCACACUGGAACUGAGACACGGUCCAGACUCCUACGGGAGGCAGCAGUGGGGAAUAUUGCACAAUGGGCGCAAGCCUGAUGCAGCCAUGCCGCGUGUAUGAAGAAGGCCUUCGGGUUGUAAAGUACUUUCAGCGGGGAGGAAGGGAGUAAAGUUAAUACCUUU
RNAcentral lists this ribosomal RNA (473 nucleotides) under Escherichia coli. Its description in RNAcentral is "bacterial SSU rRNA". It matches the Rfam family "Bacterial small subunit ribosomal RNA", at positions 1 to 470 of the family's 1533-position model. The record is from RNAcentral. Lineage: Bacteria; Pseudomonadati; Pseudomonadota; Gammaproteobacteria; Enterobacterales; Enterobacteriaceae.